This is a long non-coding RNA of Thalassophryne amazonica, 104 nucleotides long. RefSeq lists it as uncharacterized. The transcript is spliced from 3 exons. The record is from RefSeq and is a predicted model, not a curated record. Lineage: Eukaryota; Metazoa; Chordata; Actinopteri; Batrachoidiformes; Batrachoididae.
UGUGACACUUCUGCUAUGGAAGAUCUGUAAAUGCGUGAAGUGAUUUGUACUUGUGCGGAGACUUGUCUGUGUGCCUCUGUGGUUAAACAGCUUCAUACCAUCAG